This is a long non-coding RNA of Vigna radiata var. radiata (mung bean), 1107 nucleotides long. RefSeq lists it as uncharacterized. The record is from RefSeq and is a predicted model, not a curated record. The transcript has 6 exons. NCBI's taxonomy places the organism in Eukaryota, Viridiplantae, Streptophyta, Magnoliopsida, Fabales, Fabaceae.
AGUGGAUCAAGUCAUUGUUGCAUUCUCUUCUCUUUUCUCGUCGACGAAGGUUCAGCAAGCGUGGUUGCCGGCCACGUUUAGGAAACCAGUGCGCAAGCCCUGCCUUUUUCAAGAAAUCAGUAUGCUCGCGACCAGUAUGAUGCAAAGGCAACUAAACGAUCUAUUCUGAAUGGUUACGAGUCUUUUCUUCAAGAAAGUGUCGAAGGUAGUCCACAGAUAAAAACGUGCUUAUUAAUAAGCUGGUGUUAAUACUAAGCUUGGGAGGUAUUGUGUUAUUAUUGUGUUACUGAGUUGUUCUAGUAUUUGACUGCCAUCAAACUUUGGAAUCUCACAGUUCUCAAGGAAUGCUUUUGAAUGGAUAAAUCUUGGAUCACUAAGUCUCGAAAUACGAUUGAAUACUCUAUUGGUUUAGAAAAAUUCUUAAAUUUUGCUUUUGAGAAUAGAGUUAUUCGAGAUACAAUUCGAUGCCCAUGUCCCAAAUGUGGAUUUAUGAAAUAGCAUAAUAGAGUCGAAGUUCACAAGCAUUUGAUUUUAAAACAAUUUCCUAAAAAUUAUGUUAUAUGGAAUUUUCAUGGUGAGAAACAAACAAAAGAUAUUUCAAGAAAUGAAAAUCCAAUGGAAACAAUGAUAAAUGAAGCAUUUGGGCAUUAUAGGCAAGAAGGUACUAAUAUAGGUAGAUCACAACCUGUGGGUGUAAACGAUGUUCUGAAUGAAAGGCCGAGGGAGAAUCAUAAUGAAUUUGCUUCAUAUACCACUGUCCCAUCAUCAUCUUCUAAUCAGUGGCAACAAAAGUUCAACAAUUUAGAAUCUCAAGUUCAAAAAACCUUGGGUGCACUUCAAGCAUACAUCAUAAUGAAGGAAGGAAAGAUUCCUGAUGAAUUGGCUUCAUUCUUUGAUCGUCAACCUUAAGAAGGUGGUGAUGCAAAUGAGCUCGAGUCUCCUUUGGGUAUAAUAGGAUCAUCUCAUGCUAGCAACAUCUAAGGAGUUUAUGAUGUCUUUUAGGAUGAAACUAUAUUUAUUCUGAAUUUUGAGUAAUUAUGAAUUUAGUUGUAAUUAUGCUUCAAUUUAACUUACUUUUAUACACUAUGGUGUUUUUGAGAAUCAAAU